RNAcentral lists this ribosomal RNA (600 nucleotides) under uncultured phototrophic eukaryote. RNAcentral describes it as "bacterial SSU rRNA". It matches the Rfam family "Bacterial small subunit ribosomal RNA", at positions 25 to 663 of the family's 1533-position model. The record is from RNAcentral.
CAGAUACGCUGGCGGCAUGCCAACACAUGCAGUUGAGACGAGCUUUAUUUUUAGGAAUUUAAGUUCAGUACGAACGGUGAGUAACAUGUAAGAACCUACCUUUAGGAGAGGAAUAACUACUGGAAACGGUGGCUAAAACCUCAUAAGCUGCGGAGUAAAAAGUGAAAACUGCCUAAAGAUGGGCUUGCAUCUGAUUAGCUUGUUGGUGAAUUAAUUGUUUACCAAGGCAACGAUCAGUAGUUGGUCUAAGAGGAUGAUCAACCACACUGGGACUGAGACACGGCCCAGACCUAUACGGAGGGCAGCAGUGAGGAAUUUUCCGCAAUGGGCGAAAGCCUGACGGAGCAAUGCCGCGUGGAUGAUGAAGGCUUUUGAGUCGUAAAGUUCUUUUCUUAGCGAAGAAAAUAGACGGUAGCUGAGGAAUAAGCAUCGGCUAAUUCCGUGCCAGCAGCCGCGGUAAUACGGAAGAUGCAAGCGUUAUUCGGAAUUAUUGGGCGUAAAGCGUCUGUAGGUGGCUUUUAAAGUCUACUGUAAAAUGUCAAGGCUUAACCUUGAAAAAGCUGUAUGAAAAUAAAAGGCUGAAGUUAGAAGAGGUAAAGG